This is a long non-coding RNA of Hemicordylus capensis (graceful crag lizard), 465 nucleotides long. RefSeq lists it as uncharacterized. Lineage: Eukaryota; Metazoa; Chordata; Lepidosauria; Squamata; Cordylidae. The record is from RefSeq and is a predicted model, not a curated record. The transcript is spliced from 2 exons.
UCUGACUAAUGUUUUUCCCUCGCAUCCACACACUAAUGACAUUGAUUGGAUCAUAAUAAUGCCAGUCUAACAGUUUCCUGACGUGAUUGACGGAGUGCUUUUGAACAUGUGCAGAUUAUUUAAACCUCGAGAAGGAGCAACUUCUGCUUUUGAAAAAGUAACAAACAAACCCCGAACUUUAUUACAGGAUGUGCCAUAUAUAUGGGAGCAUGUGCAGAGUGCCUUUGAGAGCGACACAGACUGAGACACAAAAGGCGGAAUUGGGGUGGCGGGAGAAAUAAAUGUCGGCGUGUACAAGUUAGAGCGCAGUAAUAAACAUUAGUACAAAUUCCAUCGAAGUUGAAUUACAGUUUUAUUUAUUCCGUGUGACCGAACUAGAUGUUCUUUUCCUUCGCAACUCUCUCCAUUUUAGUCAAUAAGCACUUAUUUAGCUGCGUGUCUUCCAGUGUUUGUCCUGUUAACGGU